Molecule: long non-coding RNA, 1177 nt
Organism: Mustela lutreola (European mink)
Lineage: Eukaryota; Metazoa; Chordata; Mammalia; Carnivora; Mustelidae
Exons: 4
Source: RefSeq, a predicted model, not a curated record
CCCUUAGGGGGUUCGGGAGGGGGCAGGGGGAAGGUUGGGAGAGGACUGCGGAGGGUCCUGGGGAGCAGGCGGGAACCCUGGACGCCGCAGCCAUCUGCGGACGCUGGUGUUUCUGUCCGCCUCCAAUUCAAGGGAACAUGGCUGCAUUGCAAGUAACCUGCAGAGGCCGCAGCCACCAGACCAAUGUCCUCAGACUUCAGCUGCAGAAGGAGGGGGUGAGCAGAGUCUCGGGACCAGCACUGAGAUUCUGAUAGGCUCCUGGAUCAUCAGGACCCGAGAGGCACGGACUGGUGGCCUUCAGGUACCUCAGCGUGUCUGGGUGGGAGGCAUCACAGCUGAACAAGAAGUCGGCGUCCUUUGGGUCACUGAUGGAGCCCCCUUCGGCCACUGUGGAGGCAAAAGCACAAGAGUAAUGGGCGGGAAAAGCCCGAAGCUAAAGGAAGAGGCGUCUGGUCACUACUGGCGAGGCGCGUGGGAUUGUGAAGAAGCGGCUCAGCUUUCACCCCGAGGUGGCGGAGAAGGGUCAGUCAUGCUUGAGAAUGAAAAGCAACUCAAAGACUGGAGAAAAGUAUUUGUAAAGCUUGUACCUGAUAAAGGUCAAAUAUCCAGGAUAUAAGAAGAACUCUAAAAAUUCAACAGCAAAAAGACAAACACUCAAUUUAAAAAUGAGCAAAGGACUUGAUUAGAUAUUUCUCCCAAGAAGACUGACAGAUGGCCAACAAGUAUAUAAAAGAUGCUAACAUCAUUAAAGAAAUGCACAUUAAAAACCACAAUGGUUGGUUCAUACCAACUAGGAUUGCUAUAAUUUUUUUUAAUAGAAAAUAACAAACAUUGGUGGGGACCUGGAGAAAUCGGAAACUUCAUACAUUUUUCUGAGAAUAUAAGAUGGUACAGCUACUGUGGAAAACAGUUUGGCAGUUCCUGAAAAUGCUAAACAUAGAAUUAAUACAUGGCCAACCAUUCCACAACUAGGCAGAUACCAAAAAAUAUUAAAACAGGUGUUCAAACAAAAACUUGUUCACAGAUAUUAAUAGCAGCACUAUUGACACUUGUCUCAGUUGGAAAUAACCUAAAUGUUCAUCAGCCAAUGGAAUGGAUAAAUAAAAUAAAAUUUGGCAUAUCCAUGAAAUGAAAGAUUAUUCCAUUAUAGGAAGGAAUAAAGUACUGAUACAUGCUA